RNAcentral lists this transfer RNA (65 nucleotides) under Diatrichalus sp. BM0069. RNAcentral's name for it is "tRNA-Phe". Lineage: Eukaryota; Metazoa; Arthropoda; Insecta; Coleoptera; Lycidae. The record is from RNAcentral.
UUUUAAUAGCUUAUUAUAAAGUAUAAUAUUGAAGAUAUUAUGAAGAUAUUUUUAUCUUAAAAUAU